AGAGUUUGAUCCUGGCUCAGGAUGAACGCUGGCGGCGUGCUUAACACAUGCAAGUCGAACGUGAAUUUCUCUUCGGAGAAAUGAAAGUGGCAAACGGGUGAGUAACACGUUGGUGACCUGCCCCCUGGCGGGGGAUAACCCUGGGAAACCAGGGCUAAUACCGCGGAUGUUUGGAUUUUUAGAAACUUCAAACUAAAACUGAGGUGCCAGGGGAGGGGCCUGCGGGCUAUCAGCUAGUUGGUGGGGUAAAGGCCUACCAAGGCGCAGACGGCUAGGGGGCGUGAGAGCGCGACCCCCCACAAGGGAACUGAGACACGGUCCCUACUCCUACGGGAGGCAGCAGUGAGGAAUAUUGCCCAAUGGAGGAAACUCUGAGGCAGCAACGCCGCGUGAACGAUGACGGCCUUCGGGUUGUAAAGUUCUUUUCUCAGGGAAGAUAAUGACGGUACCUGAGGAAUAAGUCCCGGCUAACUACGUGCCAGCAGCCGCGGUAAAACGUAGGGGACAAGCGUUAUCCGGAUUUACUGGGCGUAAAGCGCCCGUAGGCGGCUUUUUAAGUUGGACGUGAAAGCUCCCGGCUUAACUGGGAGAGGCCGUUCAAAACUGAGAAGCUCGAGUGAGGAAGAGGAGAGCAGAAUUCCCGGUGUAGUGGUGGAAUGCGUAGAGAUCGGGAGGAAUACCAGUGGCGAAAGCGGCUCUCUGGUCCUAAACUGACGCUGAGGGGCGAAAGCGUGGGGAGCGAACGGGAUUAGAUACCCCGGUAGUCCACGCCGUAAACGAUGGAGACUAGGUGUAGGUGGAUAGAACCCCAUCUGUGCCGAAGCCAACGCGUUAAGUCUCCCGCCUGGGGAGUACGGCCGCAAGGUUAAAACUCAAAUGAAUUGACGG
RNAcentral lists this ribosomal RNA (888 nucleotides) under uncultured bacterium. Its description in RNAcentral is "bacterial SSU rRNA". It matches the Rfam family "Bacterial small subunit ribosomal RNA", at positions 8 to 916 of the family's 1533-position model. The record is from RNAcentral.